RNAcentral lists this ribosomal RNA (2277 nucleotides) under human gut metagenome. RNAcentral's name for it is "bacterial LSU rRNA". It matches the Rfam family "Bacterial large subunit ribosomal RNA", at positions 14 to 2311 of the family's 2925-position model. The record is from RNAcentral.
AGGGCGCAUGGCGGAUGCCUUGGCUCUCGGAGGCGAUGAAGGACGUGAUAAGCUGCGAUAAGCUCCGGGGAGGUGCAAAUAACCUUUGAUCCGGGGAUUUCCGAAUGGGACAACCCGGCGUGUUGAAGACACGCCACCUGAUCAUUUCAGGAGCUAACGCAGGGAACUGAAACAUCUUAGUACCUGCAGGAAAAGAAAAUAACAAUGAUUCCCCCAGUAGUGGCGAGCGAACGGGGAAUAGCCCAAACCGUUCAUGUUACGGCAUGAUCGGGGUUGUAGGACUACGUCGUUGCAUGAAGACAUCGGAGAAGAACUUUCUGGAAAGAAAGACCAUAGAGCAUGACAGUUGCGUAUUCGUAUGUUGUCGAAGCAUAGUAGUAUCCUGAGUAGCGCGGAGCACGAGGAAUUCUGCGUGAAUCUGCCGGGACCAUCCGGUAAGGCUAAAUACUCCCGAGAGACCGAUAGCGAACCAGUACCGUGAGGGAAAGGUGAAAAGCACUUCGAACAGAAGAGUGAAAUAGUUCCUGAAACCGUGCGCCUACAAGCGGUCGGAGCUGCUUAAAGCAGUGACGGCGUGCCUUUUGCAUAAUGAACCUACGAGUUGCCUUUGCCGGCAAGGUUAAGUGUGACGACACACGUAUCCGAAGCGAAAGCGAGUCUGAAGAGGGCGUAUAGUCGGCAGUGGCAGACGCGAAACCAAGUGAUCUACCCUUGGCCAGGUUGAAGGCUGGGUAACACCAGCUGGAGGACCGCACCAAUAAGCGUUGAAAAGCUUCUGGAUGAGCUGAGGGUAGGGGUGAAAGGCUAAUCAAACUUGGAGAUAGCUCGUACUCCCCGAAAUGCAUUUAGGUGCAGCCUUGAGAGUUACUAAUGUGAGGUAGAGCGACUGAUAAGAUGCGAGGGCUUCACCGCCUAUCAAGUCUUGACAAACUCCGAAUGCGUGUCAGUUCUAUGUCAGGAGUGAGGGCAUGGGUGCUAAGGUCCAUGUCCUAAAGGAGAACAAUCCGGACCAACAGCUAAGGUCCCGAAAUGAAUACUAAGUUGAACUAACGAAGUCAGAUUGCUAAGACAGCUAGGAUGUUGGCUUGGAAGCAGCCAUUCAUUUAAAGAGUGCGUAACAGCUCACUAGUCGAGGAGUCUGGCGUGGAUAAUAAUCGGGUAUUAAGUUGUCUACCGAAGCAGUGGGAUCAUUGAAAUGAUCGGUAGGGGAGCAUUCCAGUCAGCGUCGAAGGCGUACCGCGAGGUAUUCUGGAGCGUCUGGAAAAGCAAAUGUAGGUAUAAGUAACGAUAAAGGGGGCGGGAAACCCCCUCGCCGAAAGACUAAGGUUUCCUGAUCAACGCUAAUCGGAUCAGGGUAAGUCGGGUCCUAAGGCUCAGCCGAACGGCGAGGCCGAUGGCAGAACCGGUUAAUAUUCCGGUACUACCUGUGGGAGUGACGUGGAGACGGAGUCGUGACAGCGCCGCGGACUGACGGAAUAGUCCGUUGAAGGGUGUAGAUGCUGAUUGUUCCAGGCAAAUCCGGAGCAAGAGUCGAACCUGAUAGUAUGGAGCGUUCUUAGAACAAUCCAAUAGUGCGUGUAAUCAUACUUCCAAGAAAAUCCGCUAAACUUAAUCCUGCAGGUACCCGUACCGCAAACGGACACACGUAGUCGGGUUGAAUAUACUAAGGCGCUUGAGUGAUUCACGGUUAAGGAACUAGGCAAAUUGACCCUGUAACUUCGGGAUAAAGGGUCCCUACCCGGUGACGGGAGGGCGCAGAGAAUAGGUCCAGGCAACUGUUUAACAAAAACACAGGGCUGUGCAAAAUUGAAAGAUGAAGUAUACAGCCUGACACCUGCCCGGUGCUGGAAGGUUAAGAGGAGAUGUCAUCGCAAGAGAAGCAUUGAAUUGAAGCCCCAGUAAACGGCGGCCGUAACUAUAACGGUCCUAAGGUAGCGAAAUUCCUUGUCGGGUAAGUUCCGACCUGCACGAAUGGUGUAAUGAUCUGGACACUGUCUCAACCGUGAGCUCGGUGAAAUUGUAGUAUCGGUGAAGAUGCCGAUUACCCGCGAUGGGACGAAAAGACCCCGUGAACCUUUACUAUAGCUUAGCAUUGAAUUUGGGCACGCGAUGUGUAGGAUAGGUCGGAGGCAUUGAAUCGGGCACGCCAGUGUUCGUGGAGCCGCUGUUGAAAUACGACCCUUCGUUUGUUUGAGUUCUAACUUCCGGAUAGAAGGACAUUGCUUGGUGGGUAGUUUGACUGGGGUGGUCGCCUCCAAAAGCGUAACGGAGGCUUCU